CAAUAGCGUAUAUUAAAGUUGUUGCGGUUAAAAGCUCGUAGUUGGAUUUCUGCUGAGGACGACCGGUCCGCCCUCCGGGUGAGCAUCUGGUUCGGCCUUGGCAUCUUCUUGGUGAACGUAUCUGCACUUGACUGUGUGGUGCGGUACCCAGGACUUUUACUUUGAGGAAAUUAGAGUGUUUCAAGCAGGCAUACGCCUUGAAUACAUUAGCAUGGAAUAAUAAGAUAGGACCUCGGUUCUAUUUUGUUGGUUUCUAGAGCUGAGGUAAUGAUUAAUAGGGAUAGUUGGGGGCAUUCGUAUUUAACUGUCAGAGGUGAAAUUCUUGGAUUUGUUAAGACGGACGUACUGCGAAGACAUUUGUCCACGGAAGUGUUUUCUAUUGUAUCAAGAACGAAAGUUAAGGGGUAGUCGAAG
This 414-nucleotide ribosomal RNA is filed under the name uncultured eukaryote. RNAcentral's name for it is "SSU rRNA". It matches the Rfam family "Eukaryotic small subunit ribosomal RNA", at positions 592 to 1006 of the family's 1831-position model. The record is from RNAcentral.